UGGGGAAUUUUGGACAAUGGGCGAAAGCCUGAUCCAGCAAUGCCGCGUGUGUGAAGAAGGCCUUCGGGUUGUAAAGCACUUUUGUCCGGAAAGAAAUCCUUGGCUCUAAUACAGUCGGGGGAUGACGGUACCGGAAGAAUAAGCACCGGCUAACUACGUGCCAGCAGCCGCGGUAAUACGUAGGGUGCAAGCGUUAAUCGGAAUUACUGGGCGUAAAGCGUGCGCAGGCGGUUUGCUAAGACCGAUGUGAAAUCCCCGGGCUCAACCUGGGAACUGCAUUGGUGACUGGCAGGCUAGAGUAUGGCAGAGGGGGGUAGAAUUCCACGUGUAGCAGUGAAAUGCGUAGAGAUGUGGAGGAAUACCGAUGGCGAAGGCAGCCCCCUGGGCCAAUACUGACGCUCAUGCACGAAAGCGUGGGGAGCAAACAGGAUUAGAUACCCUGGUAGUCCACGCCCUAAACGAUGUCAACUAGUUGUUGGGGAUUCAUUUCCUUAGUAACGUAGCUAACGCGUGAAGUUGACCGCCUGGGGAGUACGGUCGCAAGAUUAAAACUCAAAUGAAUUGGCGGGGUCAU
Molecule: ribosomal RNA, 574 nt
Filed under: uncultured bacterium
Lineage: Bacteria
Description: partial 16S ribosomal RNA
Rfam family: Bacterial small subunit ribosomal RNA
Source: RNAcentral